AGUCGAGCGCACUCCUUCNGAGUGAGCGGCGGACGGGUUAGUAACGCGUGGGAAUAUGCCCUUCUCUAAGGAAUAGCCACUGGAAACGGUGAGUAAUACCUUAUACGCCCUUCGGGGGAAAGAUUUAUCGGAGAAGGAUUAGCCCGCGUAAGAUUAGAUAGUUGGUGGGGUAAUGGCCUACCAAGUCUACGAUCUUUAGCUGGUUUUAGAGGAUGAUCAGCAACACUGGGACUGAGACACGGCCCAGACUCCUACGGGAGGCAGCAGUGGGGAAUCUUGGACAAUGGGCGCAAGCCUGAUCCAGCCAUGCCGCGUGAGUGAUGAAGGCCUUAGGGUCGUAAAGCUCUUUCGCCAGAGAUGAUAAUGACAGUAUCUGGUAAAGAAACCCCGGCUAACUCCGUGCCAGCAGCCGCGGUAAUACGGAGGGGGUUAGCGUUGUUCGGAAUUACUGGGCGUAAAGCGCACGUAGGCGGAUCAGAAAGUAAGGGGUGAAAUCCCAGGGCUCAACCCUGGAACUGCCUCUUAAACUCCUGGUCUUGAGUUCGAGAGAGGUGAGUGGAAUUCCGAGUGUAGAGGUGAAAUUCGUAGAUAUUCGGAGGAACACCAGUGGCGAAGGCGGCUCACUGGCUCGAUACUGACGCUGAGGUGCGAAAGUGUGGGGAGCAAACAGGAUUAGAUACCCUGGUAGUCCACACCGUAAACGAUGAAUGCCAGUCGUCGGGUAGCAUGCUAUUCGGUGACACACCUAACGGAUUAAGCAUUCCGCCUGGGGAGUACGGU
RNAcentral lists this ribosomal RNA (780 nucleotides) under marine sponge bacterium liquidOTU7. Its description in RNAcentral is "bacterial SSU rRNA". It matches the Rfam family "Bacterial small subunit ribosomal RNA", at positions 60 to 886 of the family's 1533-position model. The record is from RNAcentral.